AGACAGAGGGUGUGAACGUUGCUCGGAAUUACUGGGCGUAAAGCGCGUGUAGGCGGACUUGUAAGUCGAUUGUGAAAGCCCUGGGCUCAACCCAGGAAUUGCAUUCGAAACUACAAGUCUUGAGUGGUGGAGAGGGAAGCGGAAUUCCCGGUGUAGAGGUGAAAUUCGUAGAUAUCUGGAGGAACACCAGCGGCGAAGGCGGCUUCCUGGACACCAACUGACGCUGAGACGCGAAAGCGUGGGGAGCAAACAGGAUUAGAAACCCUAGUAGUCC
This 274-nucleotide ribosomal RNA is filed under the name uncultured bacterium. RNAcentral describes it as "partial 16S ribosomal RNA". It matches the Rfam family "Bacterial small subunit ribosomal RNA", at positions 523 to 796 of the family's 1533-position model. The record is from RNAcentral.